Molecule: long non-coding RNA, 586 nt
Organism: Prunus persica (peach)
Lineage: Eukaryota; Viridiplantae; Streptophyta; Magnoliopsida; Rosales; Rosaceae
Exons: 2
Source: RefSeq, a predicted model, not a curated record
UCUUUUUACUUCUUUCUUUCUUCACUCUUCUGCCUCUUUUCCUCUCAGUUUUUUUUUUUCUUCUUUCUCUCUUAUUCUUUCUCCUCUCAAUUCGUCUCCAUUUUUUCCCCUCUCUUUCUCUGAUUUUUUGUUACUCUGAUUUUUUUCUUCUUGGUUUUAUGUUUCUCUCUCUCCCUCUAUAUCUCUUUCUUUGCAACUCUGUUAUUCUAUUUCUCUUUUUUUUCUCUCUUCAUUUUUUGUUUCUCUGUACAUAUAUGUGUUCAUCUUGUAGAUCUGGGUGAAGUUCUUAGAGAUCUGGGUGAAGUUCUUGGAGAUCUGGGUUAAGUUAUUGUAGAUCUGGGUAAAGAGCCCGUUUAAAGCAGGUACUGAAGUAGCAUGGAUAAAAAGAAAGACUGAAGAUGUUGCAGAACAUUGAAUAUGUUCUAUUUCUGUAAUUUGUUUGUAAUUAAAUUUGUUUAUUUUGUUUUGUUUUUAGGUUGUAAGUUUUAUUUUAAUGCUUGAUAUUUGUUGUUUUGUCAAUUAGCAGUGCGUGGAUGUGAAUUGGGCCAAUCGGUAAUAAUUAGGCCCAAAAGGUUUUAAAUAUCAA